Molecule: ribosomal RNA, 261 nt
Filed under: Melanacanthus margineguttatus
Lineage: Eukaryota; Metazoa; Arthropoda; Insecta; Hemiptera; Alydidae
Description: partial large subunit ribosomal RNA
Source: RNAcentral
UAAGUUUUAUUUUUGGUUAUUAUUAAUUUUAUUUAUAUUAAAAAAUUUUGUUGGGGUGACAGUGAAAUUUUAAUAACUUUCAUAUAAUUAUCAUCAUUGAUUUAUGUAUUUUUGAUCCUUUAUUAUGGAUUAUUAGAUUAAAUUACCUUAGGGAUAACAGCGUAAUUCUUUUGGAGAGUUCUUAUCGAUAAAGGAGUUUGCGACCUCGAUGUUGGAUUAAAAUUAAAUUUGGGUGCAGGAGCUCAAUUUUUAAGUCUGUUC